AUGAACGCUGGCGGCGUGCUUAACACAUGCAAGUCGAACGAAGCACUUUGGAACGAUUCUUCGGAUGAGUGAUAUUGUGACUGAGUGGCGGACGGGUGAGUAACGCGUGGGUAACCUGCCUCAUACAGGGGGGAUAACAGUUAGAAAUGACUGCUAAUACCGCAUAAGCGCACGGUAUCGCAUGAUACAGUGUGAAAAACUCCGGUGGUAUGAGAUGGACCCGCGUCUGAUUAGCUAGUUGGUGAGGUAACGGCUCACCAAGGCAACGAUCAGUAGCCGGCCUGAGAGGGUGAACGGCCACAUUGGGACUGAGACACGGCCCAAACUCCUACGGGAGGCAGCAGUGGGGAAUAUUGCACAAUGGGGGAAACCCUGAUGCAGCGACGCCGCGUGAACGAUGAAGUAUUUCGGUAUGUAAAGUUCUAUCAGCAGGGAAGAAAAUGACGGUACCUGACUAAGAAGCACCGGCUAAAUACGUG
Molecule: ribosomal RNA, 479 nt
Filed under: uncultured bacterium
Lineage: Bacteria
Description: bacterial SSU rRNA
Rfam family: Bacterial small subunit ribosomal RNA
Source: RNAcentral